AGAGGCAGGUGGAUCUCUGUGAGUUCGAGGCCAGCCUGGUCUACAGAGUGAGUUCCAGGACAGCCAGGGCUACACAGAGAAACCCUGUCUC
This 91-nucleotide microRNA precursor is filed under the name Cricetulus griseus (Chinese hamster). RNAcentral's name for it is "miRNA (ENSCGRG00001009093.1)". Lineage: Eukaryota; Metazoa; Chordata; Mammalia; Rodentia; Cricetidae. The record is from RNAcentral.